GGGUAAUUCGAAAGGACGUGCUGCUUAGAAAAUGAAUAUUUUUGUUGAUGCAUACAUUCCUUUGUCUAGAUCGUUAAUCUGUAACUACGUAGAAUCGUUAACUGCGUAGCUGCUUGUGCCAUCGGCUCAUGUGUCCCCCCUUCCCCCGUCACUUUGUAAGUUACUCGACGAAACUAAGGUACAAGGAGUCAUUUAGUCGUCUUAUUUCAUACAGAUAACAUGGAUCGCGUUGCGUCAGGUUUGCAACGUAUUGUAACGUAUUGGCGGCGUCGGUCGUUUAUUACUCCAAUAAUUUAAUCCAAUAAUCACACGCGAAAAGUCAGUGCAUCUCUCAAGAGAACAAAGAUUCUGCAGGAGCUCAAGAAUACAUAUCACUUUUUCGACUUCUUCUUCAUCUUUAGGAGUGUUCUAACAGUGGCUCAAAAGCCAAGUAUAUUUUUCGCAACUUCCAUUUUUACCAUUGGCCUUUCAACGGUUCCUGACUGAUGUUAAUCUUCCUGACGACAUUCGCUGGGAUAGUGCAGUAUUGAUGGUAACGUCCUCUGUUUCUCCGCUUCGAACGGUAAGACGCAUGCAUUUCUGUUCUUCUGGUCACUCAAUUAUGUCGUAUGAUAAAAAGUCCGAAUCGGCACGGGUGACUGGUUGUAUUACGUAGAAUUCUUUGAGAGCAUACUGAACGCGGGUAUCUUUUAUACCCUUGAGUAGUAACGCUCUUUUUUCACAUUUAUUAGUUUAGGAUAGGUCUUCUUGCACAGCGCGAUUAUAAUAAUUAGUUUUUUAAUAAUUAAGUUAAACAUAUACACUUGAGAAUAUAUUCGUGUUAUUUAUAAAUAUGCAUAUCAAUAUUCCGUAUGAAUAUUUGCAAAUGACAAAUAUCUACACGAA
Bombus impatiens (common eastern bumble bee) is the source of this 885-nucleotide long non-coding RNA. RefSeq lists it as uncharacterized. NCBI's taxonomy places the organism in Eukaryota, Metazoa, Arthropoda, Insecta, Hymenoptera, Apidae. The transcript is spliced from 5 exons. The record is from RefSeq and is a predicted model, not a curated record.